This 1387-nucleotide ribosomal RNA is filed under the name uncultured bacterium. RNAcentral's name for it is "16S ribosomal RNA". It matches the Rfam family "Bacterial small subunit ribosomal RNA". The record is from RNAcentral.
UCCUGGCUCAGGACGAACGCUGGCGGCGUGCUUAACACAUGCAAGUCGAACGGAGCACCCCUGAAGGAGUUUUCGGACAACGGAAGGGAAUGCUUAGUGGCGGACUGGUGAGUAACGCGUGAGGAACCUGCCUUCCAGAGGGGGACAACAGUUGGAAACGACUGCUAAUACCGCAUGAUGUGUUUUGAUGGCAUCAUUGAGACACCAAAGAUUUAUCGCUGGAAGAUGGCCUCGCGUCUGAUUAGCUAGUAGGCGGGGUAACGGCCCACCUAGGCGACGAUCAGUAGCCGGACUGAGAGGUUGACCGGCCACAUUGGGACUGAGAUACGGCCCAGACUCCUACGGGAGGCAGCAGUGGGGAAUAUUGGGCAAUGGGCGCAAGCCUGACCCAGCAACGCCGCGUGAAGGAAGAAGGCUUUCGGGUUGUAAACUUCUUUUAAGAGGGAAGAGAAGAAGACGGUACCUCUUGAAUAAGCCACGGCUAACUACGUGCCAGCAGCCGCGGUAAUACGUAGGUGGCAAGCGUUGUCCGGAUUUACUGGGUGUAAAGGGCGUGCAGCCGGGCUGACAAGUCAGAUGUGAAAUCCCGCGGCUCAACCGCGGAACUGCAUUUGAAACUGUCAGUCUUGAGUACCGGAGAGGUCAUCGGAAUUCCUUGUGUAGCGGUGAAAUGCGUAGAUAUAAGGAAGAACACCAGUGGCGAAGGCGGAUGACUGGACGGCAACUGACGGUGAGGCGCGAAAGCGUGGGGAGCAAACAGGAUUAGAUACCCUGGUAGUCCACGCUGUAAACGAUCGAUACUAGGUGUGCGGGGACUGACCCCCUGCGUGCCGCAGUUAACACAAUAAGUAUCGCACCUGGGGAGUACGAUCGCAAGGUUGAAACUCAAAGGAAUUGACGGGGGCCCGCACAAGCGGUGGAUUAUGUGGUUUAAUUCGAAGCAACGCGAAGAACCUUACCAGGGCUUGACAUGGGGAUGACCGGGCUAGAGAUAGUCUUUUCCCUUCGGGGACAUCCCACACAGGUGGUGCAUGGUUGUCGUCAGCUCGUGUCGUGAGAUGUUGGGUUAAGUCCCGCAACGAGCGCAACCCUUAUCCUUAGUAGCCAGCAGGUAGAGCUGGGCACUCUAGGGAGACUGCCAGGGAUAACCUGGAGGAAGGUGGGGAUGACGUCAAAUCAUCAUGCCCCUUAUGAUUUGGGCUACACACGUGCUACAAUGGCGUAAACAAAGGGAAGCGAGAGUGUGAGCUGGAGCAAAUCCCAAAAAUAACGUCUCAGUUCGGACUGCAGGCUGCGACCCGCCUGCACGAAGCUGGAAUCGCUAGUAAUCGCGAAUCAGAAUGUCGCGGUGAAUACGUUCCACGGGUCUUGCACUCACCGCCCGUCA